This 553-nucleotide ribosomal RNA is filed under the name uncultured bacterium. Its description in RNAcentral is "partial 16S ribosomal RNA". It matches the Rfam family "Bacterial small subunit ribosomal RNA", at positions 355 to 898 of the family's 1533-position model. The record is from RNAcentral.
UAGGGAAUCUUCCACAAUGGACGCAAGUCUGAUGGAGCAACGCCGCGUGAGUGAAGAAGGUUUUCGGACCGUAAAGCUCUGUUGUUGGUGAAGAAGGAUAGAGGUAGUAACUGGCCUUUAUUUGACGGUAAUCAACCAGAAAGUCACGGCUAACUACGUGCCAGCAGCCGCGGUAAUACGUAGGUGGCAAGCGUUGUCCGGAUUUAUUGGGCGUAAAGCGAGCGCAGGCGGAAGAAUAAGUCUGAUGUGAAAGCCCUCGGCUUAACCGAGGAAUUGCAUCGGAAACUGUUUUCUUGAGUGCAGAAGAGGAGAGUAGAACUCCAUGUGUAGCGGUGGAAUGCGUAGAUAUAUGGAAGAAUACCAGUGGCGAAGGCGGCUCUCUGGUCUGCAACUGACGCUGAGGCUCGAAAGCAUGGGUAGCGAACAGGAUUAGAUACCCUGGUAGUCCAUGCCGUAAAACGAUGAGUGCUAAGUGUUGGGAGGCUUCCGCCUCUCAGUGCUGCAGCUAACGCAUUAAGCACUCCGCCUGGGGGAGUACGACCGCAAGGUUGAA